AAGACUAUACUUUCAGGGAGCAUUUCUAUAGUUUGUAACUGGUGAAAUGUGCUCGAAAGCGUCAAAGUAUACGCCAUCAGC
RNAcentral lists this small nucleolar RNA (81 nucleotides) under Leptobrachium leishanense (Leishan spiny toad). RNAcentral's name for it is "Small nucleolar RNA U3 (ENSLLEG00000009171.1)". It matches the Rfam family "Small nucleolar RNA U3", at positions 1 to 80 of the family's 219-position model. From Rfam's summary of the family: Small nucleolar RNAs (snoRNAs) are involved in the processing and modification of rRNA in the nucleolus. The record is from Rfam by way of RNAcentral. Lineage: Eukaryota; Metazoa; Chordata; Amphibia; Anura; Megophryidae.